This 489-nucleotide ribosomal RNA is filed under the name uncultured bacterium. RNAcentral's name for it is "partial 16S ribosomal RNA". It matches the Rfam family "Bacterial small subunit ribosomal RNA", at positions 28 to 507 of the family's 1533-position model. The record is from RNAcentral.
GACGAACGCUGGCGGCGUGCUUAACACAUGCAAGUCGAACGGAAAGGCCCCCACCUUGGUGGGGGUGCUCGAGUGGCGAACGGGUGAGUAACACGUGGGUGAUCUGCCCUGUACUUCGGGAUAAGCUUGGGAAACUGGGUCUAAUACCGGAUAGGACCAUGGUUUAGUGUCUCAUGGUGGAAAAAUUAUUGUUUUGGUGCAGGAUGAGCUCGCGGCCUAUCAGCUUGUUGGUGGGGUAAUGGCCUACCAAGGCGUCGACGGGUAGCCGGCCUGAGAGGGUGGACGGCCACAGUGGGACUGAGAUACGGCCCAGACUCCUACGGGAGGCAGGAGUGGGGGAUAGUGCACAAUGGGCGCAAGCCUGAUGCAGCGACGGCGCGGGGGGGAUGACGGCCUUCGGGUUGUAAACUCCUUUCGUUAGGGACGAAGCCACACCUUUUUGGGGUGUGGUGACGGUACCUUUGUUAAGAAGCACCGGCUAACUACGUG